This 300-nucleotide ribosomal RNA is filed under the name uncultured Methanococcoides sp. RNAcentral's name for it is "bacterial SSU rRNA". It matches the Rfam family "Bacterial small subunit ribosomal RNA", at positions 495 to 795 of the family's 1533-position model. The record is from RNAcentral. Lineage: Archaea; Methanobacteriati; Methanobacteriota; Methanomicrobia; Methanosarcinales; Methanosarcinaceae.
GGUGAGUCAUGGACAUGGGGUGGAGGAAUACAGAAGGUCCGGGGGUGUUCCGGCGUUAGGUGGUUUAAGGUGAGCCUAGGCCGGAGAUUAAGCGGGUUGUGAAAUGUAGACGCUCAACGUCUGCACUGCAGCGCGAACUGGUGUCCUUGAGUACGCACAAAGUGUGCGGAAGUCGGGGUGUAGCGGUGAAAUGCUUAGAUAUCACGAAGAACUCCGAUUGCGAAGGCAGCGCACUGGAGCGCAACUGACGCUGAAGCUCGAAAGUGCGGGUAUCGAACAGGAUUAGAUACCCCUGUAGUC